UUCAAACUAGGGAAAUUUGCUCCAAUAGAGAAGAUAAAUACAAAGUUAGAUAAAAUAUUAGAAAUUAUUAAUCCUUUGUCACCAAAAAAACAAGCAAGGCUUCAAAACAUGCAAGAAGAAAAAUAAGAACACAUAUCAAUAAAUAAGAACACAUAUCGAUUAAGUGUUGAAAAGAAAAUGAAUUGUUGAGUAUUUCUUAAGUAAUGAUCUUGUAUUACAGAAUAGGAAAGUGAUAUAUUUAAUACGAAAACGCCAGAGUUAUUUUCAGUAUAUAGGUCGUGUUCAAUGCAAAUUCUGUUUAUGUAUUGUGAUAAUUGAUUUAUCACAUAUUUAUUGAAAUUUCUGACAGACCAGUCAAAAAUCACAUAACCUCAAUUCAGUGAUAUGAUAUGAAUAUUAUAGAGAAAGACUGCUCAUAACCCUUAUGGGUUAUGUCAAAAUGGAUUUCAAACUAGGGAAAUUUGCUCUAAUCAAGAAGAUAAAUUGUCACCAAAGAAACAAGCAAGACUUAAAAGCAUGCGAGAAGGAAAAC
Ctenocephalides felis (cat flea) is the source of this 532-nucleotide long non-coding RNA. RefSeq lists it as uncharacterized. The record is from RefSeq and is a predicted model, not a curated record. The transcript is spliced from 4 exons. Lineage: Eukaryota; Metazoa; Arthropoda; Insecta; Siphonaptera; Pulicidae.